RNAcentral lists this ribosomal RNA (450 nucleotides) under uncultured Glomeromycotina. RNAcentral describes it as "SSU rRNA". It matches the Rfam family "Eukaryotic small subunit ribosomal RNA", at positions 569 to 1028 of the family's 1831-position model. The record is from RNAcentral. Lineage: Eukaryota; Fungi; Glomeromycota.
AGCAGCCGCGGUAAUUCCAGCUCCAAUAGCGUAUAUUAAAGUUGUUGCAGUUAAAAAGCUCGUAGUUGAAUUUCGGGGUUCUACCGUUGGUCGGGCUUUGUCUGUACUGGCGUGUGGAAUUUCUACCUUCUGGGGAACCAUCAUGUUAUUAAUUUAACGUGGUGGGAAACCAGGACCUUUACCUUGAAAAAUUAGAGUGUUCAAAGCAGGCUUAUGUCUGAAUACAUUAGCAUGGAAUAAUAAAAUAGGACGGUGGUCCUGUUUUGUUGGUUUCUGAAUCACCGUAAUGAUUAAUAGGGAUAGUUGGGGGCAUUAGUAUUCAAUUGUCAGAGGUGAAAUUCUUGGAUUUAUUGAAGACUAACUUCUGCGAAAGCAUUUGCCAAGGAUGUUUUCAUUAAUCAAGAACGAAAGUUAGGGGAUCGAAGACGAUCAGAUACCGUCGUAGUCUUA